GCAAACUUGGUCAUUUAGAGGAAGUAAAAGUCGUAACAAGGUCAUCGUAGGUGAACCUGCGGUGGGAUCAUUAUCUGAACCUUUUAAACAUUGUGUGAAAUACUUGGGUUAUAAGAGUGGUAUGUUUUUGUGCUGAUUAAAAAAAGUGCAGGAGGGUAUUGCUUGUUGCAGCGUGGUCGUCGUUGUUUGACAAUUGUUGUUUUUGGCAAUUGUUGUUUGACAAUCUUCGGCCGCCUGCUUUUUUAAACUAUGUUGGUUUGUAUCUUUUUACGAUAGACUGUAUUUAAUUAUUUGCUCGAAAGAGCUAUUAACUUUUUUUACAACUAUCAAUGGUGGAUCACUUGGCUCUUGCAUCGAUGAAGAACGCAGC
Molecule: unclassified non-coding RNA, 370 nt
Filed under: uncultured fungus
Lineage: Eukaryota; Fungi
Description: partial contains small subunit ribosomal RNA, internal transcribed spacer 1, and 5.8S ribosomal RNA
Rfam family: Eukaryotic small subunit ribosomal RNA (bases 1-73)
Source: RNAcentral